RNAcentral lists this long non-coding RNA (242 nucleotides) under Helianthus annuus (common sunflower). RNAcentral's name for it is "sRNA HanXRQr2_Chr11g0502751". The record is from RNAcentral. Lineage: Eukaryota; Viridiplantae; Streptophyta; Magnoliopsida; Asterales; Asteraceae.
UCAGAUUCAAGUGUGCUUUGGGAGGAAGUGAGAGUGGGUAUUUAUAGGAAUUCAAGAACCGUUAAGAUCGUUCAUCGAAAACUGAGCUUUGAUCUGGACCUUACAUGUGUGCCCAUGGUUUUCUAAAACCAUGGGAGCCCCUAAUAUGAUCAUAAUGGACUAUGUUCAUUGAAUACCAUCCCAUGGUUUUGCAAAACCAUGGGUUAAAACCAUCAACACUUCAAAAUGGACUAGGUUCAUUG